GUGGGGAAUCUUGCGCAAUGGGCGAAAGCCUGACGCAGCCAUGCCGCGUGGAUGAUGAAGGUCUUAGGAUUGUAAAAUCCUUUCACCGGUGAAGAUAAUGACUGUAGCCGGAGAAGAAGCCCCGGCUAACUUCGUGCCAGCAGCCGCGGUAAUACGAAGGGGGCUAGCGUUGCUCGGAUUUACUGGGCGUAAAGGGCGCGUAGGCGGACAUUUAAGUCAGGGGUGAAAUCCCGGGGCUCAACCUCGGAACUGCCUUUGGUACUGGGUGUCUUGAGUAUGAGAGAGGUGUGUGGAACUCCGAGUGUAGAGGUGAAAUUCGUAGAUAUUCGGAAGAACACCAGUGGCGAAGGCGACACACUGGCUCAUUACUGACGCUGAGGCGCGAAAGCGUGGGGAGCAAACAGGAUUAGAUACCCCUGUAGUCC
Molecule: ribosomal RNA, 425 nt
Filed under: uncultured bacterium
Lineage: Bacteria
Description: partial 16S ribosomal RNA
Rfam family: Bacterial small subunit ribosomal RNA
Source: RNAcentral